Molecule: ribosomal RNA, 433 nt
Filed under: uncultured bacterium
Lineage: Bacteria
Description: partial 16S ribosomal RNA
Rfam family: Bacterial small subunit ribosomal RNA
Source: RNAcentral
AACGAACGCUGGCGGCAUGCCUAACACAUGCAAGUCGAACGAGACCUUCGGGUCUAGUGGCGCACGGGUGCGUAACGCGUGGGAAUCUGCCCUUCGGUUGGGAAUAACUGAGAGAAAUUUCAGCUAAUACCUUAUAAUGUCUUCGGACCAAAGAUUUAUCGCCGAGGGAUGAGCCCGCGUAGGAUUAGGUAGUUGGUGGGGUAAUGGCCUACCAAGCCGACGAUCCUUAGCUGGUCUGAGAGGAUGAUCAGCCACACUGGGACUGAGACACGGCCCAGACUCCUACGGGAGGCAGCGGUGGGGAAUAUUGGACAAUGGGCGAAAGCCUGAUCCAGCAAUGCCGCGUGAGUGAUGAAGGCCUUAGGGUUGUAAAGCUCUUUUACCCGGGAUGAUAAUGACAGUACCGGGAGAAUAAGCUCCGGCUAACUCCGUG